Molecule: small RNA, 76 nt
Filed under: Xanthomonas vesicatoria
Lineage: Bacteria; Pseudomonadati; Pseudomonadota; Gammaproteobacteria; Lysobacterales; Lysobacteraceae
Description: sX9
Source: RNAcentral
AUGCACCACUCGCCCACGCUGGGCAUGAGCGCGCUUUCCACACCCAACCGACGACUGUUCGCGACGUUUUUUUGCC